GGGAAGUCCUGUGGCAGUGGAGUCGUCAGCAUUAAUUCAAAUAAGAUCUCUCCCUGCACACAAUCUGCUUUCGUGUUCCUGAUGGAUUGAAUCAAGAGUGAAUGAGCUCUUCCUUCGCGAAAGCAAAACAAACUAAACGCAUCAACCGCGACCGCAGAGCCCCCAUCUCUCCCAGGAGGGUGAGCCCACGUUGUGUUUUCAUUUGUCAGAAAUCUAUCUUAGGAAGCCAUUCCUGAGAUCUGUUCUAAUUUAGGCCAUUUUUAAAAAAAAUAAUGCAGUUGAUUCUUUUCCUGUGA
Molecule: long non-coding RNA, 296 nt
Filed under: Pan troglodytes (chimpanzee)
Lineage: Eukaryota; Metazoa; Chordata; Mammalia; Primates; Hominidae
Description: lincRNA
Source: RNAcentral